GGUCUGGUGGCGAGUGGCGAACGGGUGAGUAAUGUAUCGGAACGUACAUUUCAGUGGGGGAUAACGUAGCGAAAGUUACGCUAAUACCGCAUAUUCUGUGAGCAGGAAAGCAGGGGAUCGCAAGACCUUGCGCUGAUUGAGCGGCCGAUAUCAGAUUAGCUAGUUGGUGAGGUAAAGGCUCACCAAGGCGACGAUCUGUAGCGGGUCUGAGAGGAUGAUCCGCCACACUGGAACUGAGACACGGUCCAGACUCCUACGGGAGGCAGCAGUGGGGAAUUUUGGACAAUGGGGGCAACCCUGAUCCAGCCAUGCCGCGUGAGUGAAGAAGGCCUUCGGGUUGUAAAGCUCUUUCGGCCGGGAAGAAAUCGCAUGGGUUAAUACCCUGUGCGGAUGACGGUACCGGCAUAAGAAGCACCGGCUAACUACGUGCCAGCAGCCGCGGUAAUACGUAGGGUGCGAGCGUUAAUCGGAAUUACUGGGCGUAAAGCGUGCGCAGGCGGUUUUUUAAGACAGGCGUGAAAUCCCCGGGCUCAACCUGGGAACUGCGCUUGUGACUGGAAGGCUAGAGUAUGGCAGAGGGGGGUGGAAUUCCACGUGUAGCAGUGAAAUGCGUAGAGAUGUGGAGGAACACCAAUGGCGAAGGCAGCCCCCUGGGCCAAUACUGACGCUCAUGCACGAAAGCGUGGGUAGCAAACAGGAUUAGAUACCCUGGUAGUCCACGCCCUAAACGAUGUCAACUAGGUGUUGGGUGGGUAAAACCAUUUAGUACCGGAGCUAACGCGUGAAGUUGACCGCCUGGGGAGUACGGCCGCAAGGUUAAAACUCAAAGGAAUUGACGGGGACCCGCACAAGCGGUGGAUGAUGUGGAUUAAUUCGAUGCAACGCGAAAAACCUUACCUACCCUUGACAUGUCCAGGAGCCUGAAGAGAUUUGGGUGUGCCCGAAAGGGAACUGGAACACAGGUGCUGCAUGGCUGUCGUCAGCUCGUGUCGUGAGAUGUUGGGUUAAGUCCCGCAACGAGCGCAACCCUUGUCGUUAAUUGCCAUCAUUCAGUUGGGCACUUUAACGAGACUGCCGGUGACAAACCGGAGGAAGGUGGGGAUGACGUCAAGUCCUCAUGGCCCUUAUGGGUAGGGCUUCACACGUCAUACAAUGGUCGGUACAAAGGGUUGCCAAGCCGCGAGGUGGAGCCAAUCCCAGAAAGCCGAUCGUAGUCCGGAUCGCAGGCUGCAACUCGCCUGCGUGAAGUCGGAAUCGCUAGUAAUCGUGGAUCAGCAUGUCACGGUGAAUAC
Molecule: ribosomal RNA, 1292 nt
Filed under: metagenome
Description: bacterial SSU rRNA
Rfam family: Bacterial small subunit ribosomal RNA
Source: RNAcentral